Molecule: long non-coding RNA, 149 nt
Organism: Bradysia coprophila
Lineage: Eukaryota; Metazoa; Arthropoda; Insecta; Diptera; Sciaridae
Source: RefSeq, a predicted model, not a curated record
AAAUUUCUCGAGUGCAAACAUUUUUUGUUCUACUCAGACCGAAGUCGGCAUCCCCGUCUGUAAACAUGCUAUAACUCACCGGAAAUACCAACAAAACACUAGCGUUAAGCAAAUGAAAACCAUUCCAAUAAACAGUAAGCGUUGUCCAG